AAGAUUGAUUGGGGGGCAGUCUUUUGUCCCUGAUCUUUCUGAUUUCUUGCCUAUCCCCAGAAUCUGUGCGGAGACCCUGGGAGAAGAACAGCACAACCUUGCCAAGGAUGAAGUCGUCUUCUUCGGUGACCACUUCCGAGACCCAACCCUGCACGCCCAGCUCCAGUGAUUACUCGGACCUACAGAGGGUGAAACAGGAGCUUCUGGAAGAGGUGAAGAAGGAAUUGCAGAAAGUGAAAGAGGAAAUCAUUGAAGCCUUCGUCCAGGAGCUGAGGAAGCGGGGUUCUCCCUGACCACAGGGACCCAGAAGACCCGCUU
Molecule: small RNA, 318 nt
Filed under: Pongo abelii (Sumatran orangutan)
Lineage: Eukaryota; Metazoa; Chordata; Mammalia; Primates; Hominidae
Description: retained intron
Source: RNAcentral